GCCGGUGUAGCUCAGCUGGUAGAGCAGUGCAUUCGUAAUGCAAAGGUCGUAAGUUCAAGUCUUAUCACCGGCACCA
This 76-nucleotide transfer RNA is filed under the name Alphaproteobacteria bacterium. Its description in RNAcentral is "tRNA-Thr". It matches the Rfam family "tRNA". From Rfam's summary of the family: Transfer RNA (tRNA) molecules are approximately 80 nucleotides in length. Their secondary structure includes four short double-helical elements and three loops (D, anti-codon, and T loops). Lineage: Bacteria; Pseudomonadati; Pseudomonadota; Alphaproteobacteria. The record is from RNAcentral.